Molecule: transfer RNA, 92 nt
Filed under: Actinomycetota bacterium
Lineage: Bacteria; Bacillati; Actinomycetota
Description: tRNA-Ser
Rfam family: tRNA
About the family: Transfer RNA (tRNA) molecules are approximately 80 nucleotides in length. Their secondary structure includes four short double-helical elements and three loops (D, anti-codon, and T loops).
Source: RNAcentral
GGAGAGCUGACCGAGAGGCCGAAGGUGCUCGCCUGCUAAGCGAGUAGGGGACUCAAAUCCCCUCUGGGGUUCAAAUCCCCAGCUCUCCGCCA